GAUGAAGAACGUAGCGAAAUGCGAUAAGUAGUGUGAAUUGCAGAAUUCAGUGAAUCAUCGAAUCUUUGAACGCACAUUGCGCCCUUUGGUAUUCCUUAGGGCAUGCCUGUUCGAGCGUCAUUUGAAACCUCAAGCUCAGCUUGGUGUUGUGUGUCUGUCCCCGCCUCACCGCGGGGACUCGCCUCAAAAUCAUUGGCGGCCGGUACGUUGGCUUCGAGCGCAGCAGAAACGCGAACUCGAGGCCCGGCGGAUCGGCGACCAGAAGUCACUUCUUCACAGUUUGACCUCGGAUCAGGUAGGGAUACCCGCUGAACUUAAGCAUAUCAAUAAGCGGAGGA
Molecule: unclassified non-coding RNA, 338 nt
Filed under: soil metagenome
Description: partial contains 5.8S ribosomal RNA, internal transcribed spacer 2, and large subunit ribosomal RNA
Rfam family: 5.8S ribosomal RNA (bases 1-120)
Source: RNAcentral